GACAGAGGUGCCGAGCGUUAGGCGGAAUCACUGGGCUUAAAGCGUGUGUAGGCGGAUCCGUAAGUACCUUGUGAAAUCCCACGGCUCAACCGUGGAACUGCUUGGUAUACUGCGGGUCUUGAGCCACUUAGGGGCAACCGGAACAAACGGUGGAGCGGUGAAAUGCGUAGAUAUCGUUUGGAACGCCAAUGGUGAAAACAGGUUGCUGGGAGUGUGCUGACGCUGAGACACGAAAGCCAGGGGAGCAAACGGG
RNAcentral lists this ribosomal RNA (253 nucleotides) under uncultured bacterium. Its description in RNAcentral is "partial 16S ribosomal RNA". It matches the Rfam family "Bacterial small subunit ribosomal RNA", at positions 524 to 776 of the family's 1533-position model. The record is from RNAcentral.